RNAcentral lists this ribosomal RNA (516 nucleotides) under Bifidobacterium pseudocatenulatum. Its description in RNAcentral is "bacterial SSU rRNA". It matches the Rfam family "Bacterial small subunit ribosomal RNA", at positions 165 to 693 of the family's 1533-position model. The record is from RNAcentral. Lineage: Bacteria; Bacillati; Actinomycetota; Actinomycetes; Bifidobacteriales; Bifidobacteriaceae.
AAUGCCGGAUGCUCCGACUCCUCGCAUGGGGUGUCGGGAAAGAUUAUAUCGGUAUGGGAUGGGGUCGCGUCCUAUCAGGUAGUCGGCGGGGUAACGGCCCACCGAGCCUACGACGGGUAGCCGGCCUGAGAGGGCGACCGGCCACAUUGGGACUGAGAUACGGCCCAGACUCCUACGGGAGGCAGCAGUGGGGAAUAUUGCACAAUGGGCGCAAGCCUGAUGCAGCGACGCCGCGUGCGGGAUGACGGCCUUCGGGUUGUAAACCGCUUUUGAUCGGGAGCAAGCCUUCGGGUGAGUGUACCUUUCGAAUAAGCACCGGCUAACUACGUGCCAGCAGCCGCGGUAAUACGUAGGGUGCAAGCGUUAUCCGGAAUUAUUGGGCGUAAAGGGCUCGUAGGCGGUUCGUCGCGUCCGGUGUGAAAGUCCAUCGCUUAACGGUGGAUCUGCGCCGGGUACGGGCGGGCUGGAGUGCGGUAGGGGAGACUGGAAUUCCCGGUGUAACGGUGGAAUGUGUAG